GACGAACGCUGGCGGCGUGCUUAACACAUGCAAGUCAAGGGGGCCCAGCAAUGGGCAACCGGCGAACGGGUGCGUAACACGUGAGCAACCUACCGAAAUGUGGGGGAUAGCCGGCCUAACGGCCGAGUAAUACCGCAUACGCUCUCGAUGAGGCAUUUCAUUGAGAGGAAACCUACGGGACAUUUCGAGGGGCUCGCGGCCUAUCAGCUAGUUGGCGAGGUAACGGCUCACCAAGGCGACGACGGGUAGCUGGUCUGAGAGGAUGGCCAGCCACAUUGGGACUGAGAUACGGUCCAGACUCCUACGGGAGGCAGCAGUGGGGAAUCUUGCGCAAUGGCCUAACGGCUGACGCAGCGACGCCGCGUGUGGGAUGAAGCUCUUCGGAGUGUAAACCACUGUUGCCCGGGACGAAUAGCUCGAUUAAUCGAGCCUGACGGUCGGGUGAGGAAGCACCGGCUAACUACGUGCCAGCAGCCGCAGU
This 481-nucleotide ribosomal RNA is filed under the name uncultured bacterium. RNAcentral describes it as "bacterial SSU rRNA". It matches the Rfam family "Bacterial small subunit ribosomal RNA", at positions 28 to 521 of the family's 1533-position model. The record is from RNAcentral.